Molecule: ribosomal RNA, 406 nt
Filed under: uncultured bacterium
Lineage: Bacteria
Description: partial 16S ribosomal RNA
Rfam family: Bacterial small subunit ribosomal RNA
Source: RNAcentral
AUUGAACGCUGGCGGCAGGCCUAACACAUGCAAGUCGAGCGAGCGGCGGACGGGUGAUUAAUGUAUGGGGAUCUGCCCGCUAGAGGGGGAUAACUACUGGAAACGGUGGCUAAUACCGCAUACUAUCGGAUGAACCCAUAUGGGUUUAGCUGGUGGGUGGGGUAAAGGCUAACCUAGGCGACGAUCUCUAGCUGGUCUGAGAGGAUGAUCAGCCACUCUGGAACUGAGAAACUGCCCAGAGUCCUACGUGAGGAGGAAGUGGGGAAUAUUGCAAAAUGGGCGAAAGCCUGAUGCAGCCAUGCCGCGUGUAUGCAGAAGGCCUUAGGUUUGUAAAGUACUUUCAGCGGGGAGGCGUUACCCGCAGAAGAAGCACCGGCUAACUCCGUGCCAGCAGCCGCGGUAAUUC